RNAcentral lists this ribosomal RNA (224 nucleotides) under uncultured Sphingobacteriales bacterium. RNAcentral's name for it is "partial 16S ribosomal RNA". It matches the Rfam family "Bacterial small subunit ribosomal RNA", at positions 1159 to 1382 of the family's 1533-position model. Lineage: Bacteria; Pseudomonadati; Bacteroidota; Sphingobacteriia; Sphingobacteriales. The record is from RNAcentral.
CAAAACGGAGGAAGGUGGGGAUGACGUCAAAUCAUCAUGCCCCUUAUGUUCUGGGCUACACACGUGUUACAAUGGCCGAUACAACGGGCAGCCACCUGGUGACAGGGAGCUAAUCCUAAAAGUCGGUCUCAGUUCGGAUCGAAGUCUGCAACCCGACUUCGUGAAGCUGGAUUCGCUAGUAAUCGCAGAUCAGCCAUGCUGCGGUGAAUACGUUCCCGGGCCUU